AAUAUAUUGGCAGAAUAAAUGCAUUAGAAUUAGAAUCUAAUUACCUAAAAAUCCU
This 55-nucleotide transfer RNA is filed under the name Paratrochosina amica. RNAcentral's name for it is "tRNA-Leu". Lineage: Eukaryota; Metazoa; Arthropoda; Arachnida; Araneae; Lycosidae. The record is from RNAcentral.